UAUAGGUGGGUGCACAUGGGAGGGUGAGUGUAUGGAUUGGAUAUAGGUGGGUGCAUAUGGGAGGGUGAGCAUAUGGAUUGGAUAUAGGUGGGUGCAUAUGGGAGGGUGAGUGUAUGGAUUGGAUAUAGGUGGGUAUAUAUGGGAGAGUGAGCAUAUGGAUUGGAUAUAGGUGGGUGCAUAUGGGGGACAGUGAAUGUCUGGAUUGGAUACAGGUGGGUGCAUAUUGGGGGAGUGAGUGUCUGGAUUAGAUACAGGUGGAUGCACAUGGGAGGAAUGAGUGUACAGAACGAAUACAGGUGGAUGCAUAUAUUGGGAGUGAGUAUACAGAGAGGAUACAGGUGGAUUGAGUUGUUACAACCAACGACAGGAAGCACAUGCAAGGCUCUAGGCAUUGCACAAAGCACUCCAUAGGCAAAAUCACACUGGCGCCAAUAGCAAUCCUGGGAGAUGUACUCAUUAUUAAUAAUAUUGUUGUCAUUUUAUAGAGAAGGAACACAGGCUCAGACAUCAGUGCCAUAUCUGAAGACAUUCAGCUAAUAACAGGAUGGAGUCCAAUCUGAAACAACUGUCACGCUGAGCCUAAUUGCUGAAGAUGGUUGAAGGCACCAGGAGGCUGGAGUUUCCUGGAGGUGGUUUGUGGCCAACCGUCAAUUACUUGGGCUGCUGUGCAGUGGGGAUAGAAGGAUGAUUAGAAUCCACAGACAACCCAUUGGCCUUUGUUUACCAUUAACUUCUGUUUUCUCCACCAGCCAAGCUCCUCCAGACCCAGGAGAUGGCUCUUCCCUCUGUGUAGCACACUCUUUCCAGUCAAGGGGUCUUGCACUGCUAUUUCCCCUUCUGCUUUGCUUGGUUCAUUCUUACUGACCCUCCAAAUACUGAAGGAAUGAAUGGAGAAAUAAGUAAAUGAGAGAUGUGGCCAAGAGUCUCCAAGAGAGGAAAUUAAAAAAUCCUAUACCUGUGAGGAACUGGCCCACUUGCAAAA
This 982-nucleotide long non-coding RNA is filed under the name Homo sapiens (human). RNAcentral describes it as "HSALNT0331190". Lineage: Eukaryota; Metazoa; Chordata; Mammalia; Primates; Hominidae. The record is from RNAcentral.